UGGCAGUGAUGACUAUCUUGGAAGACUCCUUUGGAAUAACCAUGAAAUAGACUUACAUUUCUGAACCAC
This 69-nucleotide small nucleolar RNA is filed under the name Sphenodon punctatus (tuatara). RNAcentral describes it as "Small nucleolar RNA SNORD58 (ENSSPUG00000017269.1)". It matches the Rfam family "Small nucleolar RNA SNORD58". From Rfam's summary of the family: snoRNA U58 is found in introns 1, 3 and 6 of the ribosomal protein RPL17 gene in humans. U58 is a member of the C/D class of snoRNA which contain C (UGAUGA) and D (CUGA) box motifs. Lineage: Eukaryota; Metazoa; Chordata; Lepidosauria; Sphenodontia; Sphenodontidae. The record is from Rfam by way of RNAcentral.